Molecule: unclassified non-coding RNA, 253 nt
Filed under: uncultured Frankiales bacterium
Lineage: Bacteria; Bacillati; Actinomycetota; Actinomycetes; Frankiales
Description: contains 16S-23S intergenic spacer region
Rfam family: Bacterial small subunit ribosomal RNA
Source: RNAcentral
UACGUAGGUGGCAAGCGUUGUCCGGAAUUAUUGGGCGUAAAGAGCUCGUAGGCGGUCUGUCGCGUCGGCUGUGAAAACUCGGGGCUCAACCCCGAGCCUGCAGUCGAUACGGGCAGACUAGAGUGCUGUAGGGUAGACUGGAAUUCCUGGUGUAGCGGUGAAAUGCGCAGAUAUCAGGAGGAACACCGGUGGAGAAGGCUGGUCUCUGUGCAGUAACUGACGCUGAGGAGCGAAAGCGUGGGGAGCGAACCGG